Non-coding RNA from Triticum urartu, 1726 nucleotides. NCBI's taxonomy places the organism in Eukaryota, Viridiplantae, Streptophyta, Magnoliopsida, Poales, Poaceae. The record is from RefSeq and is a predicted model, not a curated record.
CGAGUAACCACAGGGUACACGUGUCCGUUUACUGUGCUAGCGAUAGAAAAAAAAACCCAAGACGGGCAAGACCUAGCCAGGUCCCCUCCGCACGCCCCCCUUCUCGCUUGACGCCGUCGCCUUCUCUCCUCUCCCUCGAUUAUUCUCCUCGCGCCGCCACCUCCCCACGCGGCGCCCCUCCACCUCGAGCAGGCCGGAGGCGGCACCGAUGGGUCGAGCCCCGCCAUGGUGGUGGACCCCCGGAAGGGCAAGGAGCUCGCCGCGAUUCCUUCUCCUCCGAGCUCCACGGGCAGCAGCAGUUCCUCCACCCCCUCCCACGACUACGCCGGAGGAGGCGCCGAUGGGUCGAGCUUCGCUGUGGCGUGGGUCGACGGGAAGGGCAGGCUGUCCGCCGUUCCCUUUCUGGCACCUUUUUCCCCCAACCUCCGCGGGCAGCAUCCUCGACUUCGCCUUCCCCUUCGCCUUGGGUCAAGCUCCACGGCAGGGAGGAGGAUGAUGGUGCCGAGGGACGUGAUGGGGUUGUUCAACUAGGAACUGGAGUUCCACCAUAUCCUGCGACAGCAGCGGGCGGUUAUCAUGGAGGACGGUGAGGAGGAGCAGGUGGAACCGUCGUACGCCAAGGACGUGCUCCCGAGAAAGGAAAAGGAGAAGAUGUGUUGAUUGCUGUAACUGGAUACAAAGGGUGCUUCCCUUCCAGGAUAUCGACCAAGCCUGGCAGCUAUGGAUCCGUUCGAGGACCAACUUUGGUUCAAAGCCAGGUUUUGGGCAUAUCGCAGCGCAAGCGGAGGCAGAUCUCAGUCAAUGCUACUCCGGUUGAUAAUGCCCUGAAGCUUCCUUCAGUAACUGGAGGAGCAGUACACAUAGUGAGAGUUCAAGAGAAUCUGCUGAAAUUGAGGUCACAACAGAUGAGUCUCAUGUUCACAUUAGUUUCUCUGCAUGGAGACUCAGCUUUGUCGGUGUCACUUUCAGAUCAACGGUCAUGAAUCAAAGUUAACUUCCUCUCUACCUAUCAUUUAACUGCAACAAAGAAUUCGAGCCGGCACUAAUACAACUGUCUGAUGCUUUGCAAAGUAAGGAUUGAGAAUAUGAAAGAGAACUUGCAAUUCCAUUCGUCAAUGUGCAGUGCCAGGGAACCCAUUUACAUUUUGCAGAUGUCUGACAUAGGCAGGUAACAAGCUAACAACGACAUCAAGUUGUCGGUAGCAGCAACAUCAAUGGCUGCAGUGGACUUCGUCAUCUCAUCGGCAUGCUCGCCCGCCACAGUACACCACUGCAGCUCCAGCGAGACGCUGGAGCUCAUGGCGGCAUUCACGGCGAUGUGCCUCGUUCCGUACCUCAACUAUCUGUAUGCGCGAUGGAGCGGGAGGGACGGUGUGCUCCGGAUGGGAUCCGGCACGGUCGGUGGGCUGACGAGGAAGAGGACCGGUGGAGGGGGGAUUGACAAGGUGGCGCUGGCAGUCAUGCUGGUGUUCAUAUUCAAGGCGGGGGCGGGUGAUGGCUCAAAGGUUGGUAGCUUCUGUAUACGUAUUGCAUCAUUGUCUUGCCUUCUUGGAAGCGUGGGUGUUGCUUCAAUUGGAACCGUUAUUUUUUCCCAUGACUUCCAGAUGUAAUCCUACUUGACUUUUGCAUCAGUGAUAUUUGAAGUUCAUCAAAUGACUUUGUAAUUAAGUUCAUAUAGUUGAUAUCUCGCAUUUGUAUAUGCUACCUCUAACAGUAUGUGCCAACA